RNAcentral lists this ribosomal RNA (403 nucleotides) under uncultured bacterium. Its description in RNAcentral is "partial 16S ribosomal RNA". It matches the Rfam family "Bacterial small subunit ribosomal RNA", at positions 30 to 526 of the family's 1533-position model. The record is from RNAcentral.
AUUGAACGCUGGCGGCAGGCCUAACACAUGCAAGUCGAGCGAGCGGCGGACGGGUGAGUAAUGUAUGGGGACUGCCCGCUAGCGGGGGAUAACUACUUGAAACGGUGGCUAAUACCGCCUACUGUCGGAUAACCCAUAUGGGAUUAGCUAGUAGGUAAGGUAAUGGCUUACCUAGGCGACGAUCCCUAGCUGGUCUGAGAGGAUGAUCAGCCACACGGGGACUGAGACACGGCCCAGACUCCGACGGAGGCAGCAGUGGGGAAUAUUGCGCAAGGGGCACAAGCCUGAUGCAGCGAUGCGGCGUGUAUGUAGAAGGGCCUAGGGUUGUAAAGUACUUUCAGUCUGGAGGCGGUACCGACAGAAGAAGCACCGGCUAACUCCGUGCCAGCAGCCGCGGUAAUAC